UACGGAGGGGGCUAGCGUUGUUCGGAAUCACUGGGCGUAAAGCGUGCGUAGGCGGCCAUUCAAGUCAGAGGUGAAAUCCCAGGGCUCAACCCUGGAACUGCCUUUGAGACUAGGUGGCUGGAACACGGGAGAGGUGAGUGGAAUUCCGAGUGUAGAGGUGAAAUUCGUAGAUAUUCGGAAGAACACCAGUGGCGAAGGCGGCUAACUGGACCAUUCUUGACGCUGAGGCGCGAAAGCGUGGGGAGCAAACAGG
RNAcentral lists this ribosomal RNA (253 nucleotides) under uncultured bacterium. RNAcentral's name for it is "partial 16S ribosomal RNA". It matches the Rfam family "Bacterial small subunit ribosomal RNA", at positions 524 to 776 of the family's 1533-position model. The record is from RNAcentral.